GGAUGCUUUUUAUCAAGUGGGAUCCAUUCUAUGACUGCUUUGGUGCAUUUGCCGUCAUUUCUUCUUGCUAUGUGAACAGCCUGUUUCCAUUGUUUCUCUACCAUCAGUUUAAGGAAUAAAUCACACAUUAUAAUCUGGAUCCAAAAAAGUGACAGCAGAAGAGUGAUUCCCGUUCACUCUACCCAAAGCCUCUCCUCACAGGUUUCUAAAUCCUAAGAAGAAAAGACUGAAGAACAUCUGGAAAGAGAACAAAGAAAGCUAUCUUCCAUCAAGCUUCUGCUUCGGAUGCAUUCCUAGAUUUGAACCUGGAUUUUUUGAUGUGUAUAGUACUUUGCACUUAAUAUAUACACAUGAAAUAGGUCUUCCAAUAGGAAUCAGUACAUGAAGCACAAAUACAUGGAGUGAAGACUUUCAGGAUUUCUAGGGCUCAUGAUCAAAAGGACUCUUUCCUACAGAAGCUCAAAAGGAUUCAUGCAUUCAUAAAGCCUGUGGACUUCAUUAAAUGUUCAGUGUGAAGAGGAAAAAAAUAAGUGGCUUCCAACUCACAUGCUGAAUUUACCAGUAAUUUUAACAUCUGAAAAACAUACUUAGUAAAGAAUAAAACCUACAGAACAUAUUUAACCUUACUUUUGAAAAGGCAAUCAAAACAACACAGAGAGAGGAUAAGUUCGCUACUAGCACUGAUGACACAUGAAGGGACUUACAAAAACUCAAAGAUGCAGUCGUCAUAAAAUUAUGCCCAUCAGAAUACAAAGAAUCGGAAGCGGGUGAACAAUUGAACAAUAACAAAUACAAAUGAAAUUAUGCUGCAUAUGAAUAAGACAAACAUAUAUUUUGGAAAUAUAUUUAUCAUCAUA
This is a long non-coding RNA of Pantherophis guttatus, 857 nucleotides long. RefSeq lists it as uncharacterized. NCBI's taxonomy places the organism in Eukaryota, Metazoa, Chordata, Lepidosauria, Squamata, Colubridae. The record is from RefSeq and is a predicted model, not a curated record.